GUCAGACAUCACUUGCUCUGUGGGUCUUCGCUAGUGCAGCUAGCACGCAGGCCUGCACUUCAGUGUAGCAGGGGCUCACAGCCCCUCUGAAGGGGGCUUGAAGAGGCAGACCUGUCUGUGAUACAAAUAUGAAAAAUCUUUGAGAGUCUCUGAAGUUCAAAUACUUGGUAGAGUAUUAACAGUUGUUACAGGCAGGAAGAACAACAUCCCAAGAACAGCUCAAGAUACUCUACACUAUUUUCAGCCCCAUUUUACAAAUGAGGAAACUCGCUUUGUGUUUUUAAAAAAAGAUUCCAUAUAGGCUUGCCCUAUAUGCACGGACCACUAGAAGGACUGGCAAAAACGUUAAGCACGCUGUCCUCAGGAACUGGGUUCUAGAGUUUUAACGCGGAGACAAGGCACUUGAUGCCGAAUGUCCUCGUAGAUAUUCAUACAGCGUGCGCAUCAUGUUUUUUUAAAUUAAAAUCUCAUUUAAUAAUCAAGGCUGUUUUCACAGCAAGAAAGGGGCAUUCAAGUUGCGGACACCUCGAAGAGUGACUUCCCGCCCCAGAGCGUCCCGACCUGAGCCUGACCCUACCAGUGAAGUAUCCAAGUAGAUACCGCUUUGAACCAUCCUGGGUUCUCCGGGAAGAGAAAAAAAAAAGGGGGGGGGGCGUGUUUUAUUACAGAUCACCACCUGGCCCUGUGAGAAGUUAAAGUCUGGAAACGCUGCCCAAAUUUAAGGCAGGUAAAGACGUGCCUGAUCUCAUUGAUACAGCCCCAGCUGACCCAAUACUGCUUGGCCUGGCCCACUUGAACCAGAUCGUACAGCCGGACAGCGCUAGAAAACCCCUGCCCGGCCCCAGGGCCGGGCCCCCACCCUGAAUCCAAACCGCGAGGCCACGAGCCCCAGGCACGGACGCUCGAUCCGCCUCCGCCCAUUCUAAGGCCACUAAGCCGCGCAUCCCGGAGCACGCAGGGAGGCCAACAGCAUCACCGGCGACGUCCGAGGACCCAAUGGAAACCGAGGCUCCAGCCCCGCCCUUCGUCAGCGCCCGGUGGUCGGAGCGGGCGGCCUCCGGUGGGCGGGGCGGGCAGCUCCGGCUACCCUCCCUGGGCAGUUUAGAAUUUGAUGUGGGGAGUUGCUUACGGUCUGGUUCCAAAGAUUCGCUUUUAAAUCAGAUCAUUUCCUGGGUACAACAGCAUACCUCCUUUAUUCAUUUCAGUAUAGUGAAGGUUUCCGCAAACAUUUUUCCAAUGAUGAUUUGAUAAACAUAUACAUUAUGGAAUUAUUACGACGAGUUCCAUUAAACACUUUUUAAAACGUUGUUUUAAUGACUGCAUAAUAAACCAAUGCAUGGGUAUAUUCAGUUGUCUCCUUUUGGGCAAGUAGGUUGUUUCCAAAUUUUCACUAACAUAAUAAUUACCUGAAAGUUGUUCACUCCACUUCCUCAGAAUGACUACAGGGGGUUACAUGGAGAUAAAUAUCUAUUCCCCUGAGACUGCAUUUCCCAUGCAAACAUUUNNNNNNNNNNNNNNNNNNNNNNNNNNNNNNNNNNNNNNNNNNNNNNNNNNNNNNNNNNNNNNNNNNNNNNNNNNNNNNNNNNNNNNNNNNNNNNNNNNAGUUGUCCAUUUGUAUUCUUUGUUUUGUAUUAGGCUGUUGGUGUUUCUUCAUUUUCUAAAGCUUCUUUGAAUAGCCUGCUGUAAUUUCUACCUUGGAACCUGAUCAGGUAGCAUUUCUAAAGGAAACUGAAUAUAAAACUUAUAAUAAUCACAUCCAGUUUCUUCACUUUAAUCAUUAAAGCUAUUAUGACCCUGAAUAAAGAAGUCCUUUUAGCACUGAACACUAACCAACUUGGGUAGAACACAGAAUUUUGGCUGCUUUUUCCACAUAUCCUGGUUCUGUGUCUACUUGGACUUUUAACAAUUCUAAAUACUUAAUAUGCUUUUUUAAACACUUAGGCUCUUUGUUAAUGACAAAGUAAGACUGCAGUGGUGUUACAUUUUAUAUGAAAUUGUCCUAUAAAAAGUGGUGGGUCGUCUAUUUGACAUCUUGUGUUGAAGCAAAGUUGAUUUCAAAAUGUUCAUGGCCAGAUUAAAUUUAUCCAAAUGUGGUGCUCAUGAUAAGAGGAUAUAUGUAUUUUUAAAACAUACAUGGCUUAAUGGAAUCUGAACUCUUUCCACAAAUAAGGUGCUAUUUGUUCGUAUGUUUCCUAUCUCCUAUCAUUAGCAUAUACACUUUUCUUGAAAACAUUUUAUUUGGGCACACAUCUUGAAGACUGAGGACUGUUUUUUGAAACUAUUGAGAGUUUUGAUAAACAGAACAUCAUGCUGAAUACACUGUAUGUGUAAAAAUCCCUUGCUUAAAGUUGUUUUCAUCCAUCAAUGAACAUGUGAAGUUGGAAUCCCCAUGCACUGCUGGUGGGAAUGGAAAAUGGUGUGGUUGUCAUGGAAAAUAAGUUGGGGGUUCCUCAAAAAGUUAAACACAGAAUUACCAUAUGGUCUAGCAAUUCUACUUCUAGAUACAUACCCCAAAGAAAUGAAAGUACGGACUCAGAUUCUCGUACACCAGUAUUCAUAGCAGUUACUGGCAGACCGAUACCAGGAGAGCACAGAGGUGAGAGAUGGUAGGGAUGUGGCCAGGUAGUAGGGCUGGAAUGCUGGACUUUAAUAGGAAGCCCCCCCUCAGGUCCCCCCAGCACCUUAGAAACCACACUUCUCAGUAUUCACUUUUGGAUUCACACAAAACAAGACAUGGAACAUCUAGGAUGCUACUGAUACUUAAUCAUACCCUCCCUAGUUCCCAUUUGAUGUUUACCUGAUCUGACAGGAGACAGCUCUGUUCUGUAGUGGCAGAGGCGUGUGGCCAGCACAGAGCUAAGUUAUGGAGGUUCAAUCCUAGCUGUCUUGUUCUCCCUGUGUGAUCUUGGGUAAGCUAGCCAACCUCCCUCUGCCUCAGUCUCCUCAUUCAUAUAAUGGGGGUAAUAAUACUACCCCCUCAGAGUUUUGUGAGUAGUGACUAACAUCAGUAAUGGGGGAAUGGUGUAGUAGUGGCCCACCUUCUGUAACCAUGAAGCACGCUCUGUUAUUAUCCUGAGACUUGAGACCAGUUUGGGUGAAGUUGCUGGGAGGAGAUCUGUUUGCAGGAGGAAGUCAGGGCCCCUGGUGAGGGAGGGGAAGAGACUCCCAGUCUGGAGAGAGACUAAACUCUCAGGGCAUGCACCUGGCCCUGAGGCCAACCUCCAGAAACUGGGAUGACUUCUGGAAAUCCUCCUGAGAAGAACAACUGUGGGAUACACUUCCUAGUGCACCUGGAGGGAGGAAGAGCCCACGAGUGUGUGAGGAGGGCAGGGAACCGGCAGAGUCUCAUGUUUUUUUCAGCUNNNNNNNNNNNNNNNNNNNNNNNNNNNNNNNNNNNNNNNNNNNNNNNNNNNNNNNNNNNNNNNNNNNNNNNNNNNNNNNNNNNNNNNNNNNNNNNNNNNUGAGGAGGGCAGGGAACCGGCAGAGUCUCAUGUUUUUUUCAGCUGCAGUAGAAAGCAGAGAUUGUACCUUAGCUACAAAUCAGAAGCUAGAAAGUAGGGCGGAACAGAUGGUGGAACUGCUUAUCUUGUUUGGGCUUCACUGUGAAUAGCGGCUGACCCAUUUCCCCAAGGUCACAGGCUUCUGUGCUGACUGCACCCAGGCAGGGCAGGUGGGCACAGUGCCAGGGGGCAGGGAGGGCGUGUGACAUGUGCCCCGUGUGGAGGAAGCGUCGGGCCAUGGCAAGCCGAGCUCAGUCUUCUGCCACACGGCCUCCAGUCUCCCUGGUCCUGGGCUCCUUCCACUAGUGACACUGUGAUCAUCAGGGCGAGGCCUCCCGCUCUGAGCGCUUAUAGUCCUAAACAUGGAAACUGAAGGAUGAAAGUUAUUUUCAAUGGCUUCCAUUCCUCCUGCCCUAACUACAUGGAAAAGAGGCUGCUGCCUAAGGCGCCCUUGCCUGGACCCUGGCACCCGGGCCCUGCUACCGGGUCCACACUACGUCCCAGCCGCUUCAGGCAGAUGUUUUCCAGACGGGUAGAGACAGUAAGAGAGGGCUUGUUCUAGACGAGGACCGUGCAGAGAUCUGCCUCGUUUCUGGACGUUGUCUACACUGUGCAAACUGAACCAGAAGACACAGGAUGAGAGGUCGGCCCAGGAUAUGUUGGGCCUCUGGGACAAAUGAAGACAAAGGGAGGUUAGGAGCGGCGACGUGAAGCCUCCGGAAUGGGGCGGUGGCGGCCCAGGCCCCGGGAUCGCCUACGGACAGCCGAAGGCUCGCACACCCCGGGAAGCGGUGGCCCGAGCGCGAAGCUCGCGGGCUCUCAGAGCAC
RNAcentral lists this long non-coding RNA (4328 nucleotides) under Capra hircus (goat). RNAcentral describes it as "lncRNA (ENSCHIG00010017859.1)". Lineage: Eukaryota; Metazoa; Chordata; Mammalia; Artiodactyla; Bovidae. The record is from RNAcentral.